Molecule: long non-coding RNA, 995 nt
Organism: Planococcus citri (citrus mealybug)
Lineage: Eukaryota; Metazoa; Arthropoda; Insecta; Hemiptera; Pseudococcidae
Exons: 5
Source: RefSeq, a predicted model, not a curated record
AAAAAAUCAAACGAAUAGUUAGGUAUUAAAAUGUCAUAAUUUCAUCAUUUUCGACGCAUAUGAGCUUUUGGAAUGAAUUACCUACAUUAAAUAUGCACAUGAUUAGUGACCUAUAAAAUUUUAUGACAGUUGUCGCGUUGUUGUCUUCGAUUACCGACUUACCUACUUGAAACAUAAGUAUACCUUUGUCGAUGUGAGUGAAGUGAAUAAACGUAGGUCGCGAAAAUACCUACCACAGUAGAAAGUAUCAUAUGAAGAAGCAUUUAGAAAAUCGAUGGGAGUCUGAGAAACAUUUUGGGCUGAAGUGGCCAAAGUUGUUGACUGGGUGAAACCAUGGGAUAAAAUGUUGGAUAAUACUAAUCAACUGUUCACAAAAUGCGAAAAUGACCCGUGCCAUUAUCAGGUUCAUUGUCAUGUGUUGGUCGGAAAAGAGAAUAAAACUGCUCUUCUACAUAAUAGCCCUGUCACUAAAACCAUUAGGAAAGUUAUUUACAAAGAACUACAAGAUAAGGUAGCCAAAAAUCUGAUAAGGAAAUAAACUGCGAGCUUGUAAAUUUGGUUCGUAAUUUAAUUGGUGCAAUUGCAACAUUUCAAAUAACAACACGAGUUGAAGCACUACCACGACGCGAAAAUCUAUUUCAGAUCUAGCUAGAAAUAAGUUUGUUAAGAUUUCAGCGACUAUCGAAGAUCCCACUGUAUACAAAGGUAUUAAAGAAGCUUUGAUGAAAAUAGAAUACCUAUGCCAAGCAAGUGCCCGACCCACAGUAAAAUUUUCGAAAAGAUUACCAAGUUACCAACUGAACAAAUAAUUAUGUAGUAUUUCGACUGCAGAAAGCAUACUUAACGUUUUUCUUCGUUUUGUUCAUCUGUAAGUUUUUUUAUAAACUAAAAAUUCAAAAAAAAAAAAUUAUGCUUUGUACGUACUUGUAUUAUAUUUUAAUACCAUUAAUAUGAAUGUAUUUAAACUUGUAUACUCUUGAAAUAAAAUCUGUGCA